GCCGAUGUGGUGAAAUUGGUAGACACGCCAUCUUGAGGGGGUGGUGAGGAGACUCGUGCUGGUUCGAAUCCAGUCAUCGGCACCA
Molecule: transfer RNA, 85 nt
Filed under: Mariprofundales bacterium
Lineage: Bacteria; Pseudomonadati; Pseudomonadota; Candidatius Mariprofundia; Mariprofundales
Description: tRNA-Leu
Rfam family: tRNA
About the family: Transfer RNA (tRNA) molecules are approximately 80 nucleotides in length. Their secondary structure includes four short double-helical elements and three loops (D, anti-codon, and T loops).
Source: RNAcentral